UACGUAGGCAGCAAGCGUUGUUCGGAGUUACUGGGCGUAAAGGGUGUGUAGGCGGCCUGUUAAGUUCCGUGUGAAAUCUCCCGGCUCAACCGGGAGGGUGCGCGGAAUACUGACGGGCUAGAGUGCGGGAUGGGAGAGUAGAAUUCCUGGUGUAGCGGUGAAAUGCGUAGAUAUCAGGAGGAAUACCGGUGGUGUAGACGGCUCUCUGGACCGUAACUGACGCUGAGACACGAAAGCGUGGGGAGCGAACAGG
RNAcentral lists this ribosomal RNA (253 nucleotides) under uncultured bacterium. RNAcentral's name for it is "partial 16S ribosomal RNA". It matches the Rfam family "Bacterial small subunit ribosomal RNA", at positions 524 to 776 of the family's 1533-position model. The record is from RNAcentral.